CGGGCUUAACCUGGGAACUGCAUUUGAAACUGGCAGGCUUGAGUUUUGUAGAGGGGGGUAGAAUUCCAGGUGUAGCGGUGAAAUGCGUAGAGAUCUGGAGGAAUACCGUGGCGAAGGCGGCCCCCUGGACAAAGACUGACGCUCAGGUGCGAAAGCGUGGGGAGCAAACAGGAUUAGAUACCCUGGUAGUCCACGCCGUAAACGAUGUCGACUUGGAGGUUGUUCCCUUGAGGAGUGGCUUCCGGAGCUAACGCGUUAAGUCGACCGCCUGGGGAGUACGGCCGCAAGGUUAAAACUCAAAUGAAUUGA
RNAcentral lists this ribosomal RNA (309 nucleotides) under Pantoea agglomerans. RNAcentral's name for it is "bacterial SSU rRNA". It matches the Rfam family "Bacterial small subunit ribosomal RNA", at positions 604 to 913 of the family's 1533-position model. The record is from RNAcentral. Lineage: Bacteria; Pseudomonadati; Pseudomonadota; Gammaproteobacteria; Enterobacterales; Erwiniaceae.